This 253-nucleotide ribosomal RNA is filed under the name uncultured bacterium. RNAcentral's name for it is "partial 16S ribosomal RNA". It matches the Rfam family "Bacterial small subunit ribosomal RNA", at positions 526 to 779 of the family's 1533-position model. The record is from RNAcentral.
CGGAGGGUGCAAGCGUUGUCCGGAUUUAUUGGGUUUAAAAGGGUGCGUAGGCGGCUUUAUAAGUCCGUGGUGAAAGCCAACAGCUCAACUGUUGAACUGCCAUGGAUACUGUAAGGCUUGAGUACAGACGAGGUAGGCGGAAUGGAUAGUGUAGCGGUGAAAUGCAUAGAUACUAUCCAGAACACCGAUUGCGUAGGCAGCUUACUAGGCUGUAACUGACGCUGAGGCACGAAAGCGUGGGAGCGACAGGAUU